Molecule: ribosomal RNA, 484 nt
Filed under: uncultured bacterium
Lineage: Bacteria
Description: partial 16S ribosomal RNA
Rfam family: Bacterial small subunit ribosomal RNA
Source: RNAcentral
AUUGAACGCUGGCGGCAGGCCUAACACAUGCCAGUCGAGCGGAUGAAGGGAGCUUGCUCCUGGAUUCAGCGGCGGACGGGUGAGUAAUGCCUAGGAAUCUGCCUGGUAGUGGGGGAUAACGUCCGGAAACGGGCGCUAAUACCGCAUACGUCCUGAGGGAGAAAGUGGGGGAUCUUCGGACCUCACGCUAUCAGAUGAUCCUAGGUCGGAUUAGCUAGUUGGUGGGGUAAAGGCCUACCAAGGCGACGAUCCGUAACUGGUCUGAGAGGAUGAUCAGUCACACUGGAACUGAGACACGGUCCAGACUCCUACGGGAGGCAGCAGUGGGGAAUAUUGGACAAUGGGCGAAAGCCUGAUCCAGCCAUGCCGCGUGUGUGAAGAAGGUCUUCGGAUUGUAAAGCACUUUAAGUUGGGAGGAAGGGCAGUAAGUUAAUACCUUGCUGUUUUGACGUUACCAACAGAAUAAGCACCGGCUAACUUCGUG